Non-coding RNA from Epinephelus lanceolatus (giant grouper), 925 nucleotides. NCBI's taxonomy places the organism in Eukaryota, Metazoa, Chordata, Actinopteri, Perciformes, Serranidae. The record is from RefSeq and is a predicted model, not a curated record.
AGAUAACUGGGAUCGACCCGCCAACACUGCAGAGGGGAAGAAAACAGCUUUUAAUCUUGAGCUGUCUGCAACUGUUUACUUAUUUAGGAGGCAAAUCGUUACUGUGGUUGGUCUUAUGAGGACACUGCAGCUCAGACAGGAUAACAGAUUUAUUAUUAAAUGACUGUGAUUCACCGAGGAAGAUGCUGGCAGUGAGCAGGCCCAUGUCUGAAGAGCUCAGCAGCAGAUCACAGCGUGCUGUUGGCAGCAGAAAAGACACACAGAGAAUCUCCACGGCGUCGCUGGCAUUGGCCCAACCACACACCACCAGCAGCAGCCAGUGGAACAAACCAAAACCUGAGAGCGACAGCAGAACAGACACAGGCCAAGCAAAGCACCCCAGACAUCCCUCUCCACAGCAACACUUUCCAGCUCCUCCUGGGGGACCCCAAGGUGUUCCCAGGUCAGGUGAAAUAUAUAAUCCCUCCAGUGUGUUCUGGGUCUGCCCCAGGGCCUCCUGCCAGUGGGACGUGCCUUGAACAACUCUAACAGGAGGGGUCCAGGAGGAUUCUGAUCAGAUGCCCGAACCACCUCAACUGACCCCUUUCAAUGCGAAGGAGCAGUGGCUCUACUCUGUGCUCCCUCUGGAUGUCUGAGCUCUUUACCCUAUCUCUAAGGCUGAGCCCAGCCACCCCACGGAGGAAACUCAUUUCAGCCACUUGUAUUAUUAUCAUUAUUAUUAUUACCUCAACAUUGUACUUAGGUACAGUACUUAAGUAUGCAAUUACUUUCCACCACUUCCUGGAGCUGACGCUUGGAGGGAUCUUUUAAAGCCUGCACAAUAAUAUCGACACGUCAUCAGUAUCAGCCAAUAUCGACUUUAAAAUGAACUGAAUUGGCCAACUUGCUUUUUCUUAAUUUGCAAAAUAAAUGAAUAUUACAUAAA